ACGGGAGGCAGCAGUCGGGAAUAUUGCGCAAUGGAGGGAACUCUGACGCAGUGACGCCGCGUAUAGGAAGAAGGUUUUCGGAUUGUAAACUAUUUUAGACAGGGAAGAAAAUGACAGUACCUGUAGAAUAAGCUCCGGCUAACUACGUGCCAGCAGCCGCGGUAAUACGUAGGGAGCAAGCGUUAUCCGGAUUUACUGGGUGUAAAGGGAGCGUAGACGGCAAAGCAAGUCUGAAGUGAAAUCCCGGGGCUCAACCCCGGAACUGCUUUGGAAACUGUUUAGCUGGAGUGCAGGAGAGGUAAGCGGAAUUCCUAGUGUAGCGGUGAAAUGCGUAGAUAUUAGGAGGAACACCAGUGGCGAGGGCGGCUUACUGGACUGUAACUGACGUUGAGGCUCGAAAGCGUGGGGAGCAAACAGGAUUAGAUACCCUGGUA
RNAcentral lists this ribosomal RNA (434 nucleotides) under uncultured Acetivibrio sp. RNAcentral describes it as "partial 16S ribosomal RNA". It matches the Rfam family "Bacterial small subunit ribosomal RNA", at positions 341 to 792 of the family's 1533-position model. The record is from RNAcentral. Lineage: Bacteria; Bacillati; Bacillota; Clostridia; Acetivibrionales; Acetivibrionaceae.